RNAcentral lists this ribosomal RNA (481 nucleotides) under uncultured fungus. RNAcentral describes it as "eukaryotic LSU rRNA". The stretch from base 110 to 263 matches the Rfam family "5.8S ribosomal RNA". The record is from RNAcentral. Lineage: Eukaryota; Fungi.
ACCGAGUUGUCGCAAGACAAUCUCCCUUUCUUGUGGUUGACUAUGUUGCCUUGCCUUCGGGCAGGAUUAUUCUGAAUCAGUGUCGUCUGAGUAUUUUUUAAUAAAUCAAAACUUUCAACAACGGAUCUCUUGGUUCUGGCAUCGAUGAAGAACGCAGCGAAAUGCGAUAAGUAAUGUGAAUUGCAGAAUUCCGUGAAUCAUCGAAUCUUUGAACGCAUAUUGCGCCCUUUGGUAUUCCGAAGGGCAUGCCUGUUCGAGCGUCAUUAUCAACCAUCAAGCCUGGCUUGUCGUUGGACUAAUUUUGCGGCUGAAAUAUGCGGCAAGUCCGAAAAAUAAUGACGGUGUCGUGUUUUGACCCUAAAUGCAACGAGCUUUUUAUAGCACGCAUUUGAAGUGGUUAACCGACCUUGGUCUUAAAAACUAUAUUUUCUCAAGGUUGACCUCGGAUCAGGUAGGAAUACCCGCUGAACUUAAGCAUUAU